Molecule: ribosomal RNA, 606 nt
Filed under: Nocardia pseudobrasiliensis
Lineage: Bacteria; Bacillati; Actinomycetota; Actinomycetes; Mycobacteriales; Nocardiaceae
Description: bacterial SSU rRNA
Rfam family: Bacterial small subunit ribosomal RNA
Source: RNAcentral
GCUUAACACAUGCAAGUCGAGCGGUAAGGCCCUUCGGGGUACACGAGCGGGAAACGGGUGAGUAACACGUGGGUGAUCUGCCUCGCACUCUGGGAUAAGCCUGGGAAACUGGGUCUAAUACCGGAUAUGACCAUGGGAUGCAUGUCUUGUGGUGGAAAGGUUUACUGGUGCGAGAUGGGCCCGCGGCCUAUCAGCUUGUUGGUGGGGUAACGGCCUACCAAGGCGACGACGGGUAGCCGACCUGAGAGGGUGAUCGGCCACACUGGGACUGAGACACGGCCCAGACUCCUACGGGAGGCAGCAGUGGGGAAUAUUGCACAAUGGGCGGAAGCCUGAUGCAGCGACGCCGCGUGAGGGAUGACGGCCUUCGGGUUGUAAACCUCUUUCGACAGGGACGAAGCGCAAGUGACGGUACCUGUAGAAGAAGCACCGGCCAACUACGUGCCAGCAGCCGCGGUAAUACGUAGGGUGCGAGCGUUGUCCGGAAUUACUGGGCGUAAAGAGCUUGUAGGCGGUUUGUCGCGUCGAUUGUGAAAUCUUGCAGCUCAACUGCAAGCCUGCAGUCGAUACGGGCAGACUAGAGUACUUCAGGGGAGACUGGAAUUC